AUUGAACGCUGGCGGCAGGCCUAACACAUGCAAGUCGAACGGUAGCAGGAAGAAGCUUGCUUCUUUGCUGACGAGUGGCGGACGGGUGAGUAAUGUCUGGGAAACUGCCUGAUGGAGGGGGAUAACUACUGGAAACGGUAGCUAAUACCGCAUAACGUCGCAAGACCAAAGAGGGGGACCUUCGGGCCUCUUGCCAGCAGAUGUGCCCAGAUGGGAUUAGCUAGUAGGUGGGGUAACGGCUCACCUAGGCGACGAUCCCUAGCUGGUCUGAGGGGAUGACCAGCCACACUGGAACUGAGACACGGUCCAGACUCCUACGGGAGGCAGCAGUGGGGAAUAUUGCACAAUGGGCGCAAGCCUGAUGCAGCCAUGCCGCGUGUGUGAAGAAGGCCUUCGGGUUGUAAAGCACUUUCAGCGGGGAGGAAGGGGGAAUGGUUAAUAACCAUUGUCAUUGACGUUACCCGCAGAAGAAGCACCGGCUAACUCCGUGCCAGCAGCCGCCGUAA
Molecule: ribosomal RNA, 506 nt
Filed under: uncultured bacterium
Lineage: Bacteria
Description: partial 16S ribosomal RNA
Rfam family: Bacterial small subunit ribosomal RNA
Source: RNAcentral